Molecule: long non-coding RNA, 1027 nt
Filed under: Cyanistes caeruleus (blue tit)
Lineage: Eukaryota; Metazoa; Chordata; Aves; Passeriformes; Paridae
Description: lncRNA (ENSCCEG00000018521.1)
Source: RNAcentral
GUUAAUUCACAUAAGUAUUGCUACUUAGAUGAAGGGCCUUCUUUAUGUUGGACAGAAAAUGGUUUUGCUUUCUUAAUUUCUUGGCAAAGAGUCUAAUUGUAAUUGUUGCCAGAUGGGUGGUCUCAGGGAAAGGAAACUCAAGAAAGGGAUUUGGACAGAUUUAGACAAAGUCUUGGCUGCUAUGGAAAUUUCGAUGUGAAAAAGGGAAAUGUCUGUCUGCAAAACUGACUGGAGGAAACCUUUUCACCUGAAAUGAAACUUUCUGAAAGGACAGAAAGCAGAGAUAAUAAGCAGAAGAAAAGAAAUUGAGCAGUUAUACGAGUGAAGUCAAGAAAUCUCCACGUGGGAUGGGGACGUGAGAAAAGAAAAAAAGAAAAAAAAAACAAAACCUUGAAAGACAAAGAACCCAGACAAAGAACCAUUUGACACAGAGUGUGUAGUUCCCUACUCCCUCUACCACCAGUGGAGGUUUCAUCGAGUGAGGCAGACUGAACCUAGUGCUGCCUCAUGGAAGAUGGCAGCUACUCCUCUCUGCUGACUGUUGGGAGGUGAUGAGUAAUACAUACCUCAGCAUCCAGAGGAGUGAUACAGAGCCUGUUAAUCACAGAUAAGGAAUGGUACCAAAUCCACUCAUGUAGGGAAAAUGGAUAAGGAUUUCUUCAUUUAUUAUUUCAGAAUAUACAUUCUUCAUUAUUCAGAUGAGAAAUAAUCAUGGGAGGAGACAGUAAAAUCCUUUUCAUAACAAAGAGGGUAGUACAGCUUACUCUGGAGACAUACAAGGAUAGCCUCUUCUUCCUGACACAGCCCAGAAGUGCUUCAAGCAGGACUCAAGUUGCACCAGCAGGAGAAAUUAGGCAGAUUCUGGUGGAGGAAAGAAGUCCAUAAGUGACAUUGCCUAUGCUGGGUUCCCAGUGAGUCAGAACAACUCAACUUCAGUUGUGGAGACAUCUCUGGUCACCUGGGAAGCCAGCAGAAUGCUCAAUUUCUUUACCAGCUAUGAAUCCCGGGUAUAUAUUCAUGGAAACUG